RNAcentral lists this long non-coding RNA (446 nucleotides) under Dermacentor andersoni. RNAcentral describes it as "uncharacterized LOC126548520". The record is from RNAcentral. Lineage: Eukaryota; Metazoa; Arthropoda; Arachnida; Ixodida; Ixodidae.
CCUAGGGAAAGGAGAUGGCGCUUUCGGCAGCGCGCCGCACGUACCCUCAGCGACAGCGCACGAAUACGAAAUCACUACCGCUUCCACCUUGCUUCUGUGCAAUCAGCUGUCGGAAAUGCAACCUGGUUUUCGCGAACGGACUGUGCUCCAAUCGUGCCGGAUUUAAUCAUGUGGAUUGAAUACGUGUGCAGUAGUGGGCUGCAAAAAGAGUGACUGGCAUUAUAGCUGUUUCUCAGUGGCUAUGGUGUUGGGCUGCUGAGCACGAGGUCGCGCGAUCGAAUCCCGGCCACGGCGGCCGCAUUUCGAUGGGGCGAAAUGCGAAAACACCCGUGUACUUGGAUUUAGGUGCACGUUAAAGAACCCCAGGUGGCCUCAAUUUGCGGAGUCCCCCACUACGGCGUGCCUCAUAAUCAGAUCGUGGUUUUGGCACGUAAAGCCCCAUAAUU